GAAUAUUGGACAAUGGGCGCAAGCCUGAUCCAGCCAUGCCGCGUGCAGGAUGACGGUCCUAUGGAUUGUAAACUGCUUUUAUACAGGAAGAAACACCUCUACGUGUAGAGACUUGACGGUACUGUAAGAAUAAGGAUCGGCUAACUCCGUGCCAGCAGCCGCGGUAAUACGGGGGAUCCAAGCGUUAUCCGGAAUCAUUGGGUUUAAAGGGUCCGUAGGCGGUCAGGUAAGUCAGUGGUGAAAGCCCAUCGCUCAACGGUGGAACGGCCAUUGAUACUGCUUGACUUGAAUUAUUAGGAAGUAACUAGAAUAUGUAGUGUAGCGGUGAAAUGCUUAGAGAUUACAUGGAAUACCAAUUGCGAAGGCAGGUUACUACUAAUGGAUUGACGCUGAUGGACGAAAGCGUGGGUAGCGAACAGG
Molecule: ribosomal RNA, 420 nt
Filed under: uncultured bacterium
Lineage: Bacteria
Description: bacterial SSU rRNA
Rfam family: Bacterial small subunit ribosomal RNA
Source: RNAcentral